Molecule: long non-coding RNA, 217 nt
Filed under: Elaeis guineensis (African oil palm)
Lineage: Eukaryota; Viridiplantae; Streptophyta; Magnoliopsida; Arecales; Arecaceae
Description: long non-coding RNA (EGUI_LNC044434)
Source: RNAcentral
GGUGGGAAGAUGCUAAGCAAAUGUACUAAAAUUGAUUAACAAUAAGAGUUUAUAUAUACUUAUUAGACCUUAUAAAUAAUGAUUAAAUCAUGUUAAUAUGUACCAUAUAUGAGAGAUAAUAAUUUGAAUUCAUUUAUUAGUUAGACAAUAGAUGGAAAGUAAAUAUACAGAUGACAAAUUAAGGAGAGGAACAAAACCCUCCUUAUUGUUCAUUUGU